RNAcentral lists this long non-coding RNA (2017 nucleotides) under Theobroma cacao (cacao). RNAcentral's name for it is "long non-coding RNA (TCAC_LNC004645)". The record is from RNAcentral. Lineage: Eukaryota; Viridiplantae; Streptophyta; Magnoliopsida; Malvales; Malvaceae.
GGGUGUCUAAAACAUUUACUAAAAAUGAUAUUGUAACUAUUUGAAUAAAAUAAAAAUAUUCAAUAAAAUAUUCUAAUUUCUUGUAAAAUAAUAUUUAUAGAGUCAUCGAUAAAUAAUUUUUUGUAAUGUAAAAGCUAAAUAAAUUCAUAUGUACUAUAAUACAGAUAACCAGGAUAUGAAAUUUACUUUACAGCAACUCGUGGGCCAACAAGGAACAAAAGUGCAAAAAAGCAGUAAACCUACAGUUUUUGGAGUAGUAAAGCCAACUAUAAUCCUUGACGAUAUCUACUAUCCACAAGCUACCUCGGGUCUGAAAGGGUUGAAAAAGAAGGUAGUGAGAUUAUAAAAUCCUAGUGAGUAAAUAGAUACCAUCUAAACCAUCUAAAGUCGAGUAAAUGGAGAUAGAUAAAAUAGUUUAACAUACUGAAAUUCAUCACCUUUCAACUUGUUUCAACUAAAUAAAAUGAAUUCAUAUAAAUCGAGUAAUUAACAUGGCUUAUGAAUUUCUUAAAAGAUUUGGCUCGUGCCAAAAUCAUUCUCAUACUUAGUUAUCAGGGAUACCUUGGCCGCGGGCUAUCCCAAACCGAGUCCGCCAAGGCUAUAAAAAAGUUAUGUACUCCUAAAUCAUGUUUUUUAUUUUUAAAAUAUAGUUGUUCUUUGGCAUUGGCUAAGUUCGCCUUCACGUGGUGGUUUGGCGUGAAGUGAACUCUAAAAGUUAUACCUCAGGAGUUGCCCUACUCGCCUCUCCAACCGAGGUAAGAAUAUGACCAGGUUCAGUGCCCCUUUAAUCGACUAGUCCACAAAACCAGCCCACUGCAGCAAGCUAAACCUACCAUACAAUAAAAUUUGCAACAACAUGAUAUGACAAUUUUAUCAUUAUCCAGCCUAUCAAGGCAAACAAUAGUUUAUACAUUUCAACACAAAUACCAAUUUAGCCAUUCAUGCCAAUAUUGUCAUAAGCCAAUCAAUUAGAACCAUAAAUUCACAAUACAUCAAAUGGUCUCCAAUUACUCUAUUUGAAAAGCCAUUAUUCAAUUUUAAAAUAAUUUUAUGAAAUCAUUUCACUAAAUCACAUUUUGUUUAUAAAAUCGAAAGAUUAAUCAUUUAAUUCAUUUUCCAUGAAAUUCACAAAAUCGGAUAAAAAUCACUUUAGAUAAUUAAGACGAUAGUAAGGUUACUCACAAUACUAGGAGUUCGAUAUACUCCUAUUCCCGAUCUUCGGGCACAAUCUCUUUACCCUUGUUAGAGGGCUCACCACUUAUACAUCAUACGUGACACGAAUUUUAAUAAAUUGUGUCAAUGUAUCAUAAACUAUUUCAGGCUCUAUAAAUCUAUAUGAAUGAAGGAAAUGUGAUGCAAAAUGUCCGAAUAGCCGUUUAAAUACGAUAUUCGACCUAAUUCGCACUAUUCUCAGUGUAAUUAGCUAAAACCUCCAAUUUAACUCUAAAUCGAUUUCUUUCACUUUCUACACUCCAAUUAUACUUAAAAUACCUCAAUGAUUGUGAAUAUGAUUCAAUUUAUCAGUCCAAACCAUAAAUCGCACAUGUCUAUACAUUAGGUAAAAAUUCAUAUUUUCAUGCCAAAAUUUCCCAUUAAAUUUCUAGCCUCACCAAUCAUUAAAUACCACCAAAAUAUCAUGAAAUAUCAUCAAUUUCAGCCUUAAUAUUCUCCCUAGAAAAUUUGGCCUCUUGUGGGUUUGUGAAGAACAAAGUGAUUCCUUGCUAGAUUUUCAUACUUUCCAUUACCAAACAACCAAAAACACUUAAUUAGCUUGAAAUCUAGCAAAAUCAAUGCUCAAAACCUCUCCUCUCAAAUUCGGCCAGCAUGGGUUCAUCAUGCAAACUUGAGUUCUAAGCAUGAAAAAUGAAAAAGAAAGCAUGGGUAGUGUAAAUCACAAGAUCAAAUCACAAAAUUUUACCUUUAUUAGCUUAAUCCCUUGAAAUCCCACACUUUUUCUUCAAUUUUCCCACCUAGGGUUUCUGUUCUCUCCUUUCCUCUUCCUUUGUUCUUCUUUUGC